GGCGGACACCGGAGAGGGGGAGCCGCGGGGACGCAGCGGCAGAUUCGGGGUGCUGGCAGCCGCAGCCCACGCCUCCCAGGGAUUGCAGGCCUGGGCGCCGGGGUUGGACCAGUGUCCCGGGCAUGGCAAGCCCUGGUUUGGUCUGUACCCAUGGUUUGUGGCGGGGCAAGACCUUAAGUUGGGUGACACCGAGGUGAGCCACGGUCCUCGGCACCAGAUGAGGAACCACUGUCUCAAUAAGUGACACCAGUGAUGCUGUUAAACAAGGACAAUCCGGUUCAUGGAUUGUGACAACGCCCACUGACAUUAAGCGGACCCUGCCGUCAGAUUCUUCUGCAGAAACAUAACUCUUAGGCUCAAUCUCUAUUCCUGGUCUUCCACAGCUAUCGUCUUCUUUUUAAAGUACUGUAUUUUAUUGAAUCUAAGCUAGUAUUUGUUGUAAGAAGCACUAUUAUUAUAUGUACAACUAAGGAAGAAAAAAUGCUGCCAAUUAAACUGUGACAUAAUGCCAUGAUUACAGUCCUGUGAAAUUGCUGAGUGCCAUGAGAGGACAGUGACAACCUUGGGGCCUCAUGGUGAAGGUGGCAGAACCUUUGUUAGCCUGGGUGCUCAGGGUGGACAGCUGCUCUUGCCAACCGGGAACAUUGGCCUUGAGCUCUUUUGUAAGUGACGGAUAAGCUUUUAUUGUACUUCAGCCAAGAUACAAACAUUGGAUGUAUUUGUACAGCAGCUAAAGGUACUCUGAUAAUAUGUAUUCUGAAAUCACCAUGUACCCUAAAAUAUUUUAACAAAAUUCUUGCAA
Molecule: long non-coding RNA, 802 nt
Organism: Pongo pygmaeus (Bornean orangutan)
Lineage: Eukaryota; Metazoa; Chordata; Mammalia; Primates; Hominidae
Exons: 4
Source: RefSeq, a predicted model, not a curated record